CCUACGGGAGGCAGCAGUAGGGAAUUUUCGUCAAUGGGCGCAAGCCUGAACGAGCAAUGCCGCGUGAACGAGGAAGGUCUUCGGAUCGUAAAGUUCUGUUGAAGGGGAAAAAGAGCGGAGAGAGGAAAUGGUCUCCGAUUGAUAUUACCCUUCGAGGACGUCACGGCUCACUACGUGCCAGCAGCCGCGGUAAUACGUAGGUGGCGAGGGUUAUCCGGAAUGAUUGGGCGGAAAGGGUGCGUAGUCGGCCUGCUAAGGCUGGGGGGAAAGGUACCGGCUCAACCGGUGCAGGCGCUGGAAACUGGCGGGCUAGAGAGCAGGAGAGGGCGGUGGAACUCGAUGUGUAGCGGUAAAAUGCGUAGAUAUCUGGAAGAACACCAGUGGCGAAGGCGGCCGCCUGGACUGUUACUGACGCUGAAGCACGAAAGCGUGGGGAGCAAAUAGGAUUAGAUACCCUAGUAGUC
Molecule: ribosomal RNA, 464 nt
Filed under: uncultured bacterium
Lineage: Bacteria
Description: partial 16S ribosomal RNA
Rfam family: Bacterial small subunit ribosomal RNA
Source: RNAcentral